UACGGAGGGAGCUAGCGUUGUUCGGAAUUACUGGGCGUAAAGCGCACGUAGGCGGCUUUGUAAGUUAGAGGUGAAAGCCCGGAGCUCAACUCCGGAAUUGCCUUUAAGACUGCAUCGCUUGAAUCCGGGAGAGGUGAGUGGAAUUCCGAGUGUAGAGGUGAAAUUCGUAGAUAUUCGGAAGAACACCAGUGGCGAAGGCGGCUCACUGGACCGGUAUUGACGCUGAGGUGCGAAAGCGUGGGGGAGCGAACAGG
RNAcentral lists this ribosomal RNA (254 nucleotides) under uncultured bacterium. Its description in RNAcentral is "partial 16S ribosomal RNA". It matches the Rfam family "Bacterial small subunit ribosomal RNA", at positions 524 to 776 of the family's 1533-position model. The record is from RNAcentral.